GUCGCGCUCGAUAGUAGAGGAAUAACUAGACAGGCGAUGGUGAGAUGGAUCAAGAUCCAAUACUAUACUUAUGGAGACCCUGAGUGAUCGUGAUCGCGUAAGUUAGUAUCAGAUUGUACCUUGGGGACGUUCUCAUUUUGUGAAGUGUUAAGUUGGAAAUCUUGCAUGAGUGUCUAGAGUGAGACUCAUGUGCGGUCAUGAUAUCCUGGUCAGCAUAGUGAGUGGAUAUCAUGUACCAUUGGCGACCGGUGAUGGAAUAUGCAAGUUAUAUCUUGGAUCGGCUCGAUGUGUGAUGUGUCUGGUAAGGUAUUGCUAGAUACUCCGAGUGGAGAAGUGUUAAUCUUGGUAAAGCAUGGACAUUUUGGUUUGAGAACUGCUAAGGAGUUUAUAAGAGAGAUGUUCGAAGAGUAAAGUGCAAUUUCUUGCAUUGUGGCUACACUCAGACCGUUGGAAGCACUGCAAUGAAGGAUGCAGCCGCUGAGGAAAUCAGUUUAGUUCAGAGGAAGAAGAAACAUUAGAUGGCUGUGUGAAUUGAGUGUGGCUAUGGGAGUAUAGUUAUAUCAGUAAGUCGCACGAGUUAUCAGAGGCGAUGCUACGCUAAGAGAAUGAAGGUGUAUGGUUGGGUAAAAGUUAUGUAGAACUGCUAGAGUUAUCAUGAACUGCAGUAUGUCGUGAAGGAUUCGAUAUACCGGUUGAGCAACAAAGAUUUGUUGGAAUGAAAAACAUAGCAGAUGUACACUGUGGAAAUCAGUGACAGGAUGAACCUCUAAGUCAGUGAGUAUUUGGGUUUCAAUGUCCUAAGAUCGAAACGUGUACCUAAGUUGCGGUAGAUGAACUAUAUGGAAUGGCAGAGUAAGUAGAAGCUUGAUUCUGGAAAGUACGCCACUUCAAAGAGUAGUAGUCGAUGAUGGAUGUAUAUAGAGUUCUAGGGCGUGUUGUAAUUGGACAACUGUAGAUAAGGAAUUAUUGUGUAUUAAUGGAAGCUAAGUGAAUUAUGGAUAUAAUGUGACUCAGAGGAUUUCAAGGUGUGUGACUUGUUGGAAUCAGAGUCGCGCAACGGAUCAAGGAAGAAUCAGAUAAGUCUGAGGUAGGAAUGAACGGACUAUUUGUAGGAUUCUAUGUUGGGAUGAAGUAUGUUCCUAAGGGAAAUUGUCGAAGCGGAGUUUCGUUCGUUCUAGUCACUUGAGGAUCCACCAUAAACUCGAGAGGUGUUGUCAAUGGGCCAGCUUGGGAAUACUUUUGGGGAUGGCAUGCAGUCCGACGUUCGCAGGUCAUCAGUUUAGCUUGCAAGUCACAAGGGUUGGACUGAGUAUCAGACUGUCGAAAUGCUGAAGGCUAGAGAGGACAUUCAGUUGGCGCAAGUCCUUUGUGGUUAUGCCUUGUGUACUAUGAUUGUACAGGAAGACUGGUACAAUGGUUACGGGUCAGUUGUUGAAUUUCGCCUCUCAUCAGUAGAAUCUUGUUCGAAGUUGUCGAAUGUCAAGGCGAUAGUGCAAGACGAUUACACCUUCGCGGUUUACGGUGACAGUUGUAUAAGUAAAGAUAAAUUUGGAACAAUCAUCCUAAGACUUUAGGAACCAGAGGUUAAGACCGAGGAAUUUGGAGAUCACCUAAUGGCAUUGUAUGGACUCGAAUGGAGAAUAAUUUGAAGUGCUAUCGUAGAAGUGACGUGGUGGCAAUAAUUCUCAAACAAGAAGUAAUUCAAGGAGCUGAGUGGAUCAGUAAUGUUUGUUGAACGAGGGUGAACACACCAGAGAAUGAAAUGAAGGACAUCCGACAUGGGUGGAUUAUUAGAGUUUUUGAAGUUCUGGAAAUCUAGUGCCGAGCAGUGAAGGUCAAGGACUCUGGAAGGAUCUUUCCCUAGGUAUGUCAAGACGAAGUACCUGAACAGACGUGUUGCUUGACAGUUAAGGUUCUGAUCAUGAAUAAUGGGAAUACCAGUUUGGCAGAUUGUGUUUCUUCGUAACGAAUGACCAUCAGACAGAGUGGUGAGAUUAUCUAAAGAGGAAUGUGAGUAACAUUCUCCCCCUUGGUUGGAUAGAUGUGAAGAGUUAGUUUUUCGCGAUGAUUGAAAGGAAUUCGAGGACGAAUUCAAUUUAAGGGGGGGAGAAUGUAAUAUCCCACAUUAAUCUAAGCACGAUUAUGGAAUAAUAAGAAGACUUAGUGGUUUAAUUAUACAUUAAGGAAUUGGCUAAGUGGUAAUUAGAAUGCAUAUAGACUCAUUCUAUAUUGAUCUAAGAGGGACUAUUAAGAAGUAAGUGGAUUAGUGAGAAUCCAACUAAAUGGCAAACUAGUAAUUUUGGCAUAGUUAGAGGGCAUUUUGGACAAUAGACAUCUUGCAUGAGUCAUAAGGAGUUGUUUGGAUGGAGGGAUGUAUAUCUUGGUUAGAGAAUCAUUUCUUUUGGAGAAUAAAGAGAUUAGAGCCAAGAAGAACUCAUAACUCAUUUUCCAUUUUCGUAUUCCAUGGCAGCCUCCACUAAAACAGGUAUAUCUCUCAACUCGUAACUCCGAUUGAGCUGAUUCCGGUCCCAUUGGAAAGCUAACGAAUUUCUCUUCGAUUUGCACCUAUGGUUCGCGUUCAUAGCUUAUGUUUUGAAGGAGAAAAGUGAGCUUGAAGUUGGGACAUGCAUGCUGAUUGUGUGUUAAGGUGUGGCUGCGGAUUUGAUGAUGAAGAAUAUGAAUUUUGGGCAAGAAGAGAUUACCAUAGCAGCAAGAACAUGAUCUUAACCUCCAUUAAAUCCAAGGUGCAGUUUAGUAGCGUUUAGUCAGUAGCAGGUUUGGACUGAAGACUUGGAAGUGGUGAUGGCUCGGAGACCUCGUCAGAUCUCAUUUUCCGCUGUGCAGAUCCAUUGAAGAUACAUGUGUUGUAAUUCUUAUUAGGAUAUCAUGUUGUAUUUUAUAUGGAUCUCUCUAUAUCUAUAGCUUUUGUAUGUACUCAAUAUCAAUUUUAACGUUUCAUGCAUAAUAUACUAGUCAGUUAUGUA
Molecule: long non-coding RNA, 2984 nt
Organism: Vicia villosa (hairy vetch)
Lineage: Eukaryota; Viridiplantae; Streptophyta; Magnoliopsida; Fabales; Fabaceae
Exons: 2
Source: RefSeq, a predicted model, not a curated record